CCUUAGAGUUUGAUCCUCGCUCAGUANGCNGCUGNAUCACCUCCUNNGAGUUUGAUCCUGGCUCAGGACGAACGCUGGCGGCGUGCUUAACACAUGCAAGUCGAACGAUGAAGCCUUUCGGGGUGGAUUAGUGGCGAACGGGUGAGUAACACGUGGGCAAUCUGCCCUUCACUCUGGGACAAGCCCUGGAAACGGGGUCUAAUACCGGAUAACACUCUGUCCCGCAUGGGACGGGGUUAAAAGCUCCGGCGGUGAAGGAUGAGCCCGCGGCCUAUCAGCUUGUUGGUGGGGUAAUGGCCUACCAAGGCGACGACGGGUAGCCGGCCUGAGAGGGCGACCGGCCACACUGGGACUGAGACACGGCCCAGACUCCUACGGGAGGCAGCAGUGGGGAAUAUUGCACAAUGGGCGAAAGCCUGAUGCAGCGACGCCGCGUGAGGGAUGACGGCCUUCGGGUUGUAAACCUCUUCAGCAGGGAAGAAGCGAAAGU
Molecule: ribosomal RNA, 490 nt
Filed under: Streptomyces flavogriseus
Lineage: Bacteria; Bacillati; Actinomycetota; Actinomycetes; Kitasatosporales; Streptomycetaceae
Description: bacterial SSU rRNA
Rfam family: Bacterial small subunit ribosomal RNA
Source: RNAcentral